This 438-nucleotide long non-coding RNA is filed under the name Penaeus japonicus. Its description in RNAcentral is "uncharacterized LOC122245010". The record is from RNAcentral. Lineage: Eukaryota; Metazoa; Arthropoda; Malacostraca; Decapoda; Penaeidae.
AGGUCUUCGUCCUCCUCUGCCUGGCAGCCGCUGUUGCCGCUGACAGCCGGGAAUCCUUUGAGUCCUACGAGUCAGGUGAAGCUAAAUACGACUUCAACUGGGCUGUCAAACACGACGACUCCGGCAACGACUUCGGCCACCAGGAAGCCCGUAACGGUGAAGACACUCAGGGAUCCUACUACGUGCAGCUCCCCGACGGCCGCCUGCAGACCGUCAGAUACGUCGUGGACGGUGACGACGGAUACGUGGCCGAGGUCAACUACGACGGAGAGGCUCGUUACCCCGAUUCAUACGAGUCAAAUGAGUCGAAGUAGAUCCUUUAAUUGCCAAAACUACAUAUGAGAUGACCCAACGACAGAGAUACCCACUCUUCUUUAAUUAUAUGUGUAAAUAUGCUUAAAUUAUGUAUCUAUAAUAAAGUUUUAAUCAAAGCUGAAA